RNAcentral lists this non-coding RNA (768 nucleotides) under Anostirus castaneus. The record is from RNAcentral. Lineage: Eukaryota; Metazoa; Arthropoda; Insecta; Coleoptera; Elateridae.
AUAAAGUUUUAUUUAUGUUUAGAAUUUUAGUAUAUUUUUUUUUUACAUGUAUUUUAAAAUUAUUUUGUUUUAAAAACUUACUUAGCAGUAUUUAGUAUUAUUAAUUUAUUAAAUUAAGAUUUAGAAAUUGAUUAGAAUUUUAAUUAAAUUUGUGCCAGCAAUUGCGGUUAUACAAAUAAUGUAAUUAAAAUUUUUUGGUUAGUAAUUAAUUAUUAAAGUUUAUUUAAUUUAUUAUUAAACUUAUUAGGUGAAAUUUUAAGUUUAAUAUAGGUUUUAUUAGAAUUUAUGAAGUUAUUAAAGUUUAAAUUUAAACUAGGAUUAGAUACCCUAUUAUUUUAAUUGUAAAUUUUAAAUGCCUGAUUAUUAGUAGAUUAUUUUCUUGAAAAUUAAAGAUUUUGGCGGUAUUUUAGUCUAUUCAGAGGAACCUGUCCUGUAAUUGAUAGUCCACGAUUUACUUUACUUUCUUUUUUAGUUUGUAUAUCAUCGUGUUUGAAUAUUUUAUUAGAAAUUUAAUAUUCAAAUUUUUUUAUUUAAAUUAAUGUCAGAUCAAGGUGCAGCUUAUAGGAAAGAAGAGAUGGGUUACAAUAGAUUUAUUUUUGGAUUACUUGUUUAAAUACAAAAUUGUAUUAAAUUGGAUUUGAAUGUAAUAUUUUUUAAUUAAUAAAUGUGAUUUUAGCUCUAAAAUAUGCACAUAUUGCCCGUCGCUCUCAUUUAAGGUGAGAUAAGUCGUAACAUAGUAGAUGUACUGGAAAGUGUAUCUAGAAAGAU